GAUGAACGCUGGCGGCGUGCCUAAUACAUGCAAGUCGAGCGAACAGACGAGGAGCUUGCUCCUCUGACGUUAGCGGCGGACGGGUGAGUAACACGUGGAUAACCUACCUAUAAGACUGGGAUAACUUCGGGAACCCGGAGCUAAUACCGGAUAAUAUAUUGAACCGCAUGGUUCAAUAGUGAAAGACGGUUUUGCUGUCACUUAUAGAUGGUUCCGGGCCGCAUUAGCUAGUUGGUAAGGUAACGGCUUACCAAGGCAACGAUGCGUAGCUGACCUGAGAGGAUGAUCGGCCACACUGGAACUGAGACACGGUCCAGACUCCUACGGGAGGCAGCAGUAGGGAAUCUUCCGCAAUGGGCGAAAGCCUGACGGAGCAACGCCGCGUGAAUGAUGAAGGUCUUCGGAUCGUAAAACUCUGUUAUUAGGGAAGAACAAAUGUGUAAGUAACUAUGCACGUCUUGACGGUACCUAAUGAGAAAGCAACGGCUAACUACGUG
RNAcentral lists this ribosomal RNA (497 nucleotides) under uncultured bacterium. RNAcentral describes it as "partial 16S ribosomal RNA". It matches the Rfam family "Bacterial small subunit ribosomal RNA", at positions 28 to 507 of the family's 1533-position model. The record is from RNAcentral.